This 311-nucleotide unclassified non-coding RNA is filed under the name plant metagenome. RNAcentral describes it as "partial contains 5.8S ribosomal RNA, internal transcribed spacer 2, and large subunit ribosomal RNA". The stretch from base 1 to 106 matches the Rfam family "5.8S ribosomal RNA", at positions 49 to 154 of the family's 154-position model. The record is from RNAcentral.
CGAAAUGCGAUAAGUAAUGUGAAUUGCAGAAUUCAGUGAAUCAUCGAAUCUUUGACCGCACAUUGCGCCCCUUGGUAUUCCAUGGGGCAUGCCUGUUCGAGCGUCAUUUGUACCCUCAAGCUCUGCUUGGUGUUGGGUGUUUGUCCCCGUCUCCGCGCGUGGACUCGCCCCAAAGUGAUUGGCAGCCGGCGUACUGGUCCCGGAGCGCAGCACAUGUCGCGCAAACGAGUGCCUUGGUACGGCGGCGUCCAUAAGCCCCUCUCUCACGCUCUUGACCUCGGAUCAGGUAGGGAUACCCGCUGAACUUAAGC